UACAGAGGUCUCAAGCGUUGUUCGGAUUCAUUGGGCGUAAAGGGUGCGUAGGUGGCGGGGUAAGUCUGGUGUGAAAUCUCGGAGCUUAACUCCGAAACUGCAUUCGAUACUGCCGUGCUUGAGGACUGGAGAGGAGACUGGAAUUUACGGUGUAGCGGUGAAAUGCGUAGAUAUCGUAAGGAAGACCAGUGGCGAAGGCGGGUCUCUGGACAGUUCCUGACGCUGAGGCACGAAGGUCAGGGGAGCAAACGGG
RNAcentral lists this ribosomal RNA (253 nucleotides) under uncultured bacterium. RNAcentral describes it as "partial 16S ribosomal RNA". It matches the Rfam family "Bacterial small subunit ribosomal RNA", at positions 524 to 776 of the family's 1533-position model. The record is from RNAcentral.